This 96-nucleotide ribosomal RNA is filed under the name Aegilops comosa. The record is from RNAcentral. Lineage: Eukaryota; Viridiplantae; Streptophyta; Magnoliopsida; Poales; Poaceae.
AACCACACCAAUCCAUCCCGAAUUUGGUGGUUAAACUCUACUGCGGUGACGAUACUGUAGGGGAGGUCCUGCGGCAAAAUAGCUCGAUGCCAGAAU